Molecule: non-coding RNA, 1455 nt
Organism: Pelobates cultripes (western spadefoot toad)
Lineage: Eukaryota; Metazoa; Chordata; Amphibia; Anura; Pelobatidae
Source: the annotation of a GenBank genome assembly
GUCUUUAAUAAAAUCUAUAUUUUCUGACGUCAAGACUAGGAAAAUCUUGAAUUUUAUAACAAGACAGGAGGCUCGUAUUAUGCAUGUUCAAAGCUAUGUAGUCAUAAUAUAACAUACAUCGGAAGUUAUUACAAUAUUAUUUUUGAAACAUGCUGGCUAGGUCUAAAAUAAAACUGUUUAAAUGUAGAUUCUGAAGACCAAUCUGCUGUUUUUAAUAGAUCUGAUAAAGAGCCUCCUGCUUGAAACACUUUAGUAGUCAUAGCUCCUCUUGAUGAGUGAGCUCCAAACAUUGAAAUAUUAAUACCUGCCAUAGACAUGGUUUGUCGUACCCAUCUAGCUAAAGAUGUAGAGGAGACAGGUAGAAAAGGUUUACGAAAGGAGAUUAGUAAUUGUGAGAAAUUAGAAUUUCGAAUCAAAGAGGUUUUAAACUCAUAUGUUUGAAGACAACUAACAACACAUAGAAGAGGAUGGUCAGAAAAUGAAGGAUAGAAUACAGUACGGAGAUUAGUUUUGGUACGUCUAACAAUAGAAAAUGUAACACCAUCAGGAGUAUAUUGUCUAUUAUUUAAGUCUAAAGCCUUAACGUCAGAAACUCUUUUGAAAGAGAUGAGACAUAGUAAAGUGGUAAGCUUAAGCGAAAGCAAUUUUAAGGAUAAUGAAUCAUUGGCCCCCCCAUGAUUCUAUCAACUGGAGUACCAGAGUAACAUCCCAGGUGGAAUUAUAUUUAGGGCAUGGAGGACGUUUAAAUCUGAUACCCUUCAUAAGUCUGCAGACUAGAGGAUGUUUACCCACAAGGAAAAAUUCAAUAGGGUCGUGAUUCGCUGAGAUAGCGGAUCUAUAGACAUUAAUGGUGCGAUAAGCUUUCCCUGAAUCAAAAGAGGCUGACAAAAAAUUUAGAAUGUUUGCUAAAUCUGAAUGUAUGGGAUCCACUGCCCGUUCCAUGCACCAAUUAAGCCAAAUUUUCCAGGCUGAUCUGUAAUUUGCACGGGUUCCCGGUGCCCAUGCUUCUGAGAGAAUGAUUCUAGUAGUGUUUGAAAAUUCACUAUGAGAUUCGAAUGGCCCGAAAUGAGGGAUGCAAUCAGGGGUAAUUGGCCCGACAGUACUAGAGGAUGACAAUUUCCCUUCGGGUCGCGAAGAGAAUCCCGACGCAUCUGUAUGAGUCGAGGGUAGUCUAUCAGCAUGCUGAGAAGCUGAGGGAACCAUGGUUGUGAUGGCCAGAGAGGGGUUAUAAUCACUAAGGUCGAUUUCUGGGACCAUGCUUUCAGAAGUACCCGGGAUAUCAUCGUAAAUGGGGGGAAAGCAUAAUUGACCCCUUCCUUCCAACAUUGGAGGAAAGCAUCUUGAUCUACUGCUUCUGGAUCCGGCCGCCAACUGAAAAAUGUUUCCAAUUGGCGAUUGAGCCGUGAUGCAAAGAGGUCGUAUCUAAAUGGACCCCACAGGGCAAGUAUUUGUUGG